This 163-nucleotide non-coding RNA is filed under the name uncultured archaeon A07HB70. RNAcentral describes it as "Sense overlapping transcript RNA 2652 (sot)". It matches the Rfam family "Sense overlapping transcript RNA 2652 (sot)". Rfam says of the family: It is associated with IS1341-type transposase (tnpB) genes, at the 3'-end in H. salinarum NRC-1. The tetraloop structural motif may be functional. The record is from Rfam by way of RNAcentral.
ACUACCGGACUCGAGAGACCCACCCGCAGGUGUGGUCGGUGCGUCUGUCCGGGUGGGCGUGCAAGCCGCCCGACCUCGUCCCGUUCCCUCGCGGAACAGGGUGUGCUAGCGCGCGGCUGCGGAAGCUGGACGCACGACGGCCACCAUCCCCGAGGGGAGCUCG